RNAcentral lists this ribosomal RNA (334 nucleotides) under uncultured bacterium. Its description in RNAcentral is "bacterial SSU rRNA". It matches the Rfam family "Bacterial small subunit ribosomal RNA", at positions 1065 to 1397 of the family's 1533-position model. The record is from RNAcentral.
UUGUGAAAUGUUGGGUUAAGUCCCGCAACGAGCGCAACCCUUAUCCUUGUUUGCCAGCGAGUAAUGUCGGGAACUCCAGGAAGACUGCCGGUGAUAAACCGGAGGAAGGUGGGGACGACGUCAAGUCAUCAUGGCCCUUACGAGUUAGGGCUACACACGUGCUACAAUGGCGCAUACAGAGGGCAGCCAACUUGCGAGAGUGAGCGAAUCCCAAAAAGUGCGUCGUAGUCCGGAUCGGAGUCUGCAACUCGACUCCGUGAAGUCGGAAUCGCUAGUAAUCGUGGAUCAGAAUGCCACGGUGAAUACGUUCCCGGGCCUUGUACACACCGCCCGU